GUUGUUUUGUCAAACGGUUACAUGUGCAAGGGGGCAAUGAAUAUGUGCUGGUAUUUGUUUCUUCUUAUUGCAGUAGCGCCCUCGCUGGAAAAAGCUGCAAAUGGUACCUCGAAGUAUCCCAAUCCACCUC
Long non-coding RNA from Rhipicephalus microplus (southern cattle tick), 130 nucleotides. Lineage: Eukaryota; Metazoa; Arthropoda; Arachnida; Ixodida; Ixodidae. The record is from RefSeq and is a predicted model, not a curated record.